RNAcentral lists this ribosomal RNA (253 nucleotides) under uncultured bacterium. Its description in RNAcentral is "partial 16S ribosomal RNA". It matches the Rfam family "Bacterial small subunit ribosomal RNA", at positions 524 to 776 of the family's 1533-position model. The record is from RNAcentral.
UACGAAGGGGGCUAGCGUUGCUCGGAAUUACUGGGCGUAAAGGGCGCGUAGGCGGCACUGUUAGUCAGGCGUGAAAGUCCUGGGCUCAACCUGGGAACUGCGCUUGAUACGGCAGAGCUAGAGGAUGGAAGAGGGUCGCGGAAUUCCCAGUGUAGAGGUGAAAUUCGUAGAUAUUGGGAAGAACACCGGUGGCGAAGGCGGCGACCUGGUCCACUACUGACGCUGAGGCGCGACAGCGUGGGGAGCAAACAGG